Molecule: ribosomal RNA, 421 nt
Filed under: uncultured Glomeraceae
Lineage: Eukaryota; Fungi; Glomeromycota; Glomeromycetes; Glomerales; Glomeraceae
Description: SSU rRNA
Rfam family: Eukaryotic small subunit ribosomal RNA
Source: RNAcentral
GGGAGGUAGUGACAAUAAAUAACAAUACGGGGUCCUUUGGGUCUCGUAAUUGGAAUGAGUACAAUUUAAAUCUCUUAACGAGGAACAAUUGGAGGGCAAGUCUGGUGCCAGCAGCCGCGGUAAUUCCAGCUCCAAUAGCGUAUAUUAAAGUUGUUGCAGUUAAAAAGCUCGUAGUUGAAUUUCGGGGUCAGUAGGUCGGUCGUGCCAACGGUAUGAACUGGCCUCACUGAUUCCUCCCUCUUGUAGAACCGUGAUGCCAUUAACUUGGUGUUGCGGGGAAACAGGACUGUUACUUUGAAAAAAUUAGAGUGUUUAAAGCAGGCUAACGCUUGAAUACAUUAGCAUGGAAUAAUGAAAUAGGACGUCGAUCUUAUUUUGUUGGUUUCUAGGGUUGACGUAAUGAUUAAUAGGGAUAGUUGGG